GGAGAAUUAGCUCAGCUGGGAGAGCAUCUCGCCUUACAAGCAGAGGGUCGGCGGUUCGAACCCGUCAUUCUCCACCA
Molecule: transfer RNA, 77 nt
Filed under: Staphylococcus hominis
Lineage: Bacteria; Bacillati; Bacillota; Bacilli; Caryophanales; Staphylococcaceae
Description: tRNA-Val
Rfam family: tRNA
About the family: Transfer RNA (tRNA) molecules are approximately 80 nucleotides in length. Their secondary structure includes four short double-helical elements and three loops (D, anti-codon, and T loops).
Source: RNAcentral